UUUCCAGACUCCUACGGGAGGCAGCAGUGAGGAAUAUUGGUCAAUGGGCGCGAGCCUGAACCAGCCAAGUCGCGUGAGGGAAGACGGUCCUAUGGAUUGUAAACCUCUUUUGUCGGGGAGCAAAAGACGCCACGCGUGGCGUUCCGAGAGUACCCGAAGAAAAAGCAUCGGCUAACUCCGUGCCAGCAGCCGCGGUAAUACGGAGGAUGCGAGCGUUAUCCGGAUUUAUUGGGUUUAAAGGGAGCGUAGAUGGGUUGUUAAGUCAGUUGUGAAAGUUUGCGGCUCGACCGUAAAAUUGCAAUUGAUACUGGCAGUCUUGAGUACAGGUGAGGUAGGCGGAAUUCGUGGUGUAGCGGUGAAAUGCUUAGAUAUCACGAAGAACUCCGAUUGCGAAGGCAGCUUACUAAACUGCCACUGACAUUGAUGCUCGAAAGUGUGGGUAUCAAACAGGAUUAGAUCCCCGCGUA
Molecule: ribosomal RNA, 467 nt
Filed under: uncultured bacterium
Lineage: Bacteria
Description: bacterial SSU rRNA
Rfam family: Bacterial small subunit ribosomal RNA
Source: RNAcentral